CGGCGAGUGAAGCGGUAACAGCUCAAAUUUGAAAUCUGGCCCUUUUAGGGUCCGAGUUGUAAUUUGUAGAAGAUGCUUUGGGUGUGGCUCCGGUCUAAGUUCCUUGGAACAGGACGUCAUAGAGGGUGAGAAUCCCGUAUGUGACUGGCGGCCUUCGCCCGUGUAAAGCUCUUUCGACGAGUCGAGUUGUUUGGGAAUGCAGCUCUAAAUGGGAGGUAUAUUUCUUCUAAAGCUAAAUACUGGCCAGAGACCGAUAGCGCACAAGUAGAGUGAUCGAAAGAUGAAAAGCACUUUGGAAAGAGAGUUAAACAGUACGUGAAAUUGUUGAAAGGGAAGCGCUUGCAACCAGACUUGCAUGCCGUCGAUCAUCGUGGGUUCUCCCGCGUGCACUCGGCGGCGUUCAGGCCAGCAUCGGUUCCGGUGGUUGGAUAAAGGCCUUGGGAAUGUGGCUCCUCUCGGGGAGUGUUAUAGCCCUCGGUGCAAUGCAGCCUACUGGGACCGAGGACCGCGCUUCGGCUAGGAUGCUGGCGUAAUGGUUGUAAGCGACCCGUCUUGAAACACGGACCAAGGAGUCUAACAUCUAUGCGAGUGUUAGGGUGUUAAACCCUUCCGCGAAAUUAACGUGAACGGAGGUACGAACCCUUUAGGGCGCAGUAUCGACCGGUCCUGAUGUCUUCGGAUGGAUCUGAGUAAGAGCAUAGCUGUUGGGACCCGAAAGAUGGUGAACUAUGCCUGAAUAGGGUGAAGCCAGAGGAAACUCUGGUGGAGGCUCGCAGCGGUUCUGACGUGCAAAUCGAUCGUCAAAUUAGGGCAUAGGGGCGAAAGACUAAUCGAACCAUCUAGUAGCUGGUCCUGCAG
This 858-nucleotide ribosomal RNA is filed under the name Dicephalospora rufocornea. RNAcentral's name for it is "partial large subunit ribosomal RNA". It matches the Rfam family "Eukaryotic large subunit ribosomal RNA", at positions 87 to 963 of the family's 3401-position model. The record is from RNAcentral. Lineage: Eukaryota; Fungi; Ascomycota; Leotiomycetes; Helotiales; Helotiaceae.